UGGGGAAUUUUGGACAAUGGGGGAAACCCUGAUCCAGCCAUCCCGCGUGUGCGAUGAAGGCCUUCGGGUUGUAAAGCACUUUUGGCAGGAAAGAAACGUCGCGGGUUAAUACCCCGCGAAACUGACGGUACCUGCAGAAUAAGCACCGGCUAACUACGUGCCAGCAGCCGCGGUAAUACGUAGGGUGCAAGCGUUAAUCGGAAUUACUGGGCGUAAAGCGUGCGCAGGCGGUUCGGAAAGAAAGAUGUGAAAUCCCAGAGCUUAACUUUGGAACUGCAUUUUUAACUACCGGGCUAGAGUGUGUCAGAGGGAGGUGGAAUUCCGCGUGUAGCAGUGAAAUGCGUAGAUAUGCGGAGGAACACCGAUGGCGAAGGCAGCCUCCUGGGAUAACACUGACGCUCAUGCACGAAAGCGUGGGGAGCAAACAGGAUUAGAUACCCUGGUAGCCCACGCCCUAAACGAUGUCAACUAGCUGUUGGGGCCUUCGGGCCUUGGUAGCGCAGCUAACGCGUGAAGUUGACCGCCUGGGGAGUACGGUC
Molecule: ribosomal RNA, 539 nt
Filed under: uncultured bacterium
Lineage: Bacteria
Description: partial 16S ribosomal RNA
Rfam family: Bacterial small subunit ribosomal RNA
Source: RNAcentral